RNAcentral lists this ribosomal RNA (563 nucleotides) under uncultured bacterium. RNAcentral describes it as "bacterial SSU rRNA". It matches the Rfam family "Bacterial small subunit ribosomal RNA", at positions 141 to 702 of the family's 1533-position model. The record is from RNAcentral.
GGAUAAYCCGGCGAAAGUCGGACUAAUACCUUAUGAGGUUUUCAGCAGACAUCUAAUGAAAACGAAAGAUUUAUCGGUCAGUGAUGGGGAUGCGUCUGAUUAGCUUGUUGGCGGGGUAACGGCCCACCAAGGCAACGAUCAGUAGGGGUUCUGAGAGGAAGGUCCCCCACAUUGGAACUGAGACACGGUCCAAACUCCUACGGGAGGCAGCAGUGAGGAAUAUUGGUCAAUGGGCGAGAGCCUGAACCAGCCAAGUAGCGUGCAGGAUGACGGCCCUAUGGGUUGUAAACUGCUUUUAUGUGGGGAUAAAGUGAGCUACGUGUAGUUUAUUGCAGGUACCACAUGAAUAAGGACCGGCUAAUUCCGUGCCAGCAGCCGCGGUAAUACGGAAGGUCCAGGCGUUAUCCGGAUUUAUUGGGUUUAAAGGGAGCGUAGGCCGUGGAUUAAGCGUGUUGUGAAAUGUAGACGCUCAACGUCUGAAUUGCAGCGCGAACUGGUUCACUUGAGUAUGCACAACGUAGGCGGAAUUCGUCGUGUAGCGGUGAAAUGCUUAGAUAUGACGA